Long non-coding RNA from Dunckerocampus dactyliophorus (ringed pipefish), 21708 nucleotides. RefSeq lists it as uncharacterized. The record is from RefSeq and is a predicted model, not a curated record. The transcript has 3 exons. NCBI's taxonomy places the organism in Eukaryota, Metazoa, Chordata, Actinopteri, Syngnathiformes, Syngnathidae.
CAAGUAUAGUUUGUCCAAGGGAGUUUGAUCUAUAAUGAAUGAAAACCAGAGUUUUUUUUUUUUUUUUUUUUAAACCAGAUUCUGCUCUAUUCGUAAGCUGGUAUUUAACUGACAUUACACAAGCACAACCCCUAGCUGAAGUGCACAGGAUAUAGGCUAUCGAUUUAUACCCUUGGGAUAUCAUCACCAUUGUGUUGGCCGCAUGUAAUGUGCUUGUGCGGGCCGCAUUGUUUGAUGGCCAGAGAUGGAUUUAUGCAGGAAUGUGCCACUCAGUGCACUGCACUGAUCUGCACAGUGAUUGAAUAUUGAGAUGAUGGGAGUGUACUACUAUCUGGGGCUGCACCCUGACAGUGAACCAGACAUGUUGGAUAAUACGCCUGUCCCAAGUUGUCUCCGUCUGCUGGGGAAACUUAAUUCAUUUAGGCCAUGUGGGCCAUUAUGCCAUUUUGUGAGAGGAGGCUUUUGAUGAAUCCAUGUCUUCAACAUUAGCAUUAUAGAGUAAAAAUCUGUAUGUUUUAUACUUUCAAACUUUUGUAAUACUAUAAAAUGACCUCUUGGAAACACUUUGACAUAAUAAAGUGGUGGAUUUGUGUGUGAGGUACAUUUAUCCAUUAUGAGCUCCUUUUGUAGUAUAUUCACAUGCUCAACAGGGUUCAAGAACAGACAGACCAUGUGUUUUCUUUGCGCUCACACUUCAGCCUUGCCAGUAAAUUGUCCAUGAAGCAGUUUUUGGGCUCAGGAACACAAAUUCCCCCAAUUCCUUUUUUUUAUGUGCCUGCAUGUUUUUGAACCUCCCUGGAAGCACAUAAACUUGUUUUGCUAUUUGGCAGAUUAUUGUUCACCAUGUAACUUUUAUACCCAAACACGAUGGAACGACAUAGUUGUCACGUUUAGUCUAGGGUGCUUUUUUUCAUUUUGAUUGCAAGCUUUACAUGUUUAAAUAUACCUGAGUACAAUGAAAUGUACUCAUGGCCAGCAGAAUAGUUUUCUUUUGUCUUGCUCAACAAUUUGUUGCAGCAAUAGUUAAAAGAUACAAAGGCAUAAAUGUCAUGGAAUAGUCAUGGAGUAGUAGGUCAUGUUAUCACCUCCUUGCAGAACAGAAUUAAUCACUCUUUGUGGAGGCAGGGAUAAGAAAACAACAACAACAAGGAUAGUCUGUUCCACCUUUCCUUUUCUCUACCUCCCUCACAAAAGGAGUCUCUUGGUAUAGGAUGUUACGGCUAGCGUUCCCAGUGCAACUCUCACUCGCAUUUCAAAAAACCUGGAGCUUCGCUUCCCGAAAAAUAUGUACACGCGCACAUACAUCAUCUGCCGAGGACUAUUUUAAUGUCUCUAAAGGAUUCACGAAGAUGGAUGCCUGUAGAGAGGGCCAUCUGUAUUUCCUUGCAGGGACCACCGGUGUUCCGGCUCUGAAGGGAUGGGAAAUCCGCACUGGGAAAUGAUGAGUGAGAAAAGCCCUCUACCACAUUGUGUCAUGAUGACUAAAAGUAAAUACCUCUGAGCCAAACCUUUUGACUGCACCUCAAUUGGUUUAAGUCAUUAGUAUGGAUUGAUUGCAUUUGUGCACAAGCCGCAACAGUCACGUAAAGCCACUCAUUUCAUUGAUGUUUUUAAAUUGAAACUGUUUGCAGUGGAGGUGACAACACUGCUUUCUUUGUCGGGCUCCAUCACGUUGCCUGUUAAUCUAGCCUGUGAGCACCACGCAAACUGGCUCACUGGUCUUACCUAGCGUGAUGUGUCCUUUGCCAUAUUUGACCCGCCUUUGUAUCAAUUUCUGGCAGUAUUGACUUUUGGGAACUGUUUGCAAACACUGAUGACACGUGUGGCUGGAUGAUGUGGUAGCGCCCAAAGGCCUUAUUUGCACUUUGCCAGUUCAACAUGAAUGACUUACAUAAAGUAGGUCUGGGGAGUGAUGAUAGCUGGCGUCAUUGCUGAUGCACUACAUGUGCCUUGCUCAGCUAUAUCAAACCCGUCAUUGACACUUUAAAGCUCUGAUGACCAUGAUGCUAUUUUUUUGCACUGUAUUUAUCUCAGACAUUUAUAACCACAAAGUCCUUUCUCAGGUUCUCUCAUUGCACUCCAUCACUGGCUCACAGAUAGACAUACAAAUAGGCUCUCAGUGAAAAUAUUUAACUCCUCAAAAUAUGCGCACAAGACAAAAACACACUUCUCCCAUGUGUGGAAAAGUGACCUGACUUGUUGGAGCAUACUUGUUUUUUUUUUUUAAUUAAGUCUUUAUCAGUAAUGCAGUUGGUAUUAUGUUUUAAAUUGAAUUCAUUGAGUGUGAGUGUUGCCAUGCCCUUUUGUGCACAUUGUCACUGACUCAUGACUGUGUCACUUGGUAUUCAGUGACUCACAACAGAAGCGUUGCUGAGAUGAAACCAAAUCCGUGACCAGUCACUGGCCGCACCACGUGCUUCCUUGCCUCCGUACAGCUUCCCGUCAAUGAAGUAAUGACAUGUCUACCUUCAGAUGAUGUACCUCACACGCUUAACAAAGCAACAAGGAAAUAGUGAGCUCGGCCGGCCUCUGGAGUGUGCCAGAAGAAAGCAGCAGGUCUCCAUAUGUUAACUAAACAUUUGCUCAGCAAUCUGCAGGGGUCUCCGUCUAGGCUUUAUUUUCACUUCUCCCCAGGUUGCUGUGCUAUCACUUUACGCUUACUUUAAAGGGGCCUUCCUUAUUAAUGCAUGGAAUGGGUUUAAAACGCUUGUAUUUUAAAACAGUUCAAUUGGCAAGUGACAACCUAAGCAAUGACAGUUUGAACUGUUCAUAGUAAUAACCUCAUUACAACAAUCAUCACUUUCCGUAUUAAAAAAAUGUGUAUUUGCUUCUGAAUUAUAAAUCUCCCUGCUAUUGUAAAUUAUUAAAAAAAUAAGAGGUUCUUCCUCAAUUGUUUGUCUUGGCAUGACUUAUUGAUAAAUGUCAAAAUGCUCUGCCAUGGUGCUUAAUAUUAAUGAAAGUUACACUUAAGAGUAGCCAGAGUUACAUGUCUGAAGCAUGUCUCACUACUAGUGGCUCCAGUCUAAGUGCAGCUCUGACAGUAAGUCUGCUUCUCCAACACUUUAUCAUCUAUCCUGUAGCAGCUUGUGAAUGUGUCACAUUUAGUAUGGCUCACACUAUACAGGGGUACAUGAGAGUCAGUAGCCUAAGAUCUUUGAAUUAUAAAUCUAUGUUCUAAUUGAAAGUUGUUAUUUAUAUUACCAAAACAUAACCACUGCACAAUUACAUCUUUGUAGACAUCUUUUGGCCGGAAUUGCUUGUUUUUCUGUCUCAAACUUUUUUGCUAUUGAGAAGUCAUAUCAAAUAAAACUCCGUGCAGCUUCCAGCUCUUUUUUUCCAAGCGACCUAAAUGAUGUCACAUGUAUCCUAUAGGAGACACCAUAUAGACCCAGUGUGCUAUGUAUCUUUUCAUUAUUCAUUACAAUUUCCAUUAGCUUUUUACUCGUAAGUCAUGUUCAGGGUCAGUACACGUUGCUUUUCAGAUGUUUUGAGCCACAAGGCCUACUUCACUCAAACUUUUCUUUGUGGAAGCUUUUAUUUUUUUACAUUCUUUAUUGGGUCAGGAUGUGUUUAGGAGGCUAACUACAUGAAAAUACUGUAAUUUAAGAUAAUUGUUUUGUUGUUAAAACAGAUGAGGUGUUAGAUGUUGUCAAGUGGAAACAACCGUUCUUUAACCUUUGUGUUUUUCACAUGUGACGGUUAAUUUCUAUGUCAGCAGCUAUUCUAGAUCACUUCCUAGAUAAGUGAUAUGUCAACUGGGUUCCAUAAUGUAAUAUAGAACACCCUUUUAUCAAUGGCCAUAACCCUGGGAAAACUAGUCUUGGCACAGUCUUGAAAUGUUUGAAAGAUUUACACAAUUCUCAAUCUUAAUGCGAUACAGGUCAUUGUAAAGAGCUCAGGUUUUAUAAGUACCAUAUGUAAUACGCGUUACAGUGUAGAUUUCGAUGAAUGUAAUAUUCUAGUGUCAAAUAUAUAUUCAUUACAUAGUGGAAUGCAUUGAGAACAAAAUAACGAUAAUGAUUAGUGGAAAUCAUCAACCCAUGGAGGUCUGGAUUCAGAAUAAUACUCAACAUAAAAGUGGGACAAUCAAGCAAUCAGGCUGAUCCAACGUCUGGAAAAUUCUCAAAAUAAGGCUCUGUUGUGUGUGUGUGGCCUCCAUGUGCCUAGCUACAAUGUCCGAGCAUGCCCCUGAUAAGACAACAGAUGCUCUCCUGAGGGAUCUCAUACCACACCUGGAUCAGGGCAUUAGUCAGCUCCUGGACAGUCUGUGGUGCGGCAUGGCAGCAAUGGAUGGAAUGAGACAUGGUGUUUUAGAGGUGCUUGAUGGGGUUCAACUGUGGGGGACGGGUAGGCCGUUCUAUAGAAUCUCAAUGCCUUCAUCAAUCCUCUUGGGCAUGGAAUUCACCAGAGCUGCACAGGUUGAAACUGGAAUCCUCUUCCAUUUCUCCUCCUGGAGCUGGUGUUAGACACUUUGUGCUCAUCCACCUUCCCUCCGCUUGAGGAUGCCCUACAGGUGCUCAAGGGGGUGCACGUCUGGAGACAUACUUUGCCACUCUAUCACCUUCAACUUCCUCAGCAAGACAGUUGUCAUCUUGGAGGUCUGUUUAGGCUUGUUACCAUGUUGGAAAACUGCCAUGCAGCCCAGUUUCCCUAGGGGGGGGGAUCAUGUUCUGCUUCACAAUGUCACAGUACAUGUUGGAAUUCAUGUUUCCUUUUAUGAACUGCAUCACUCAUGCAGACCCAAACCAUAAUGCUCGUACCACCAUGUGUGGCUGUAGGCAAGACACAAUUAUCUUGCUACACACUAGGGAAGUCCCGAUCCACAUUGUUUGGCUUCCGAUCCGAUCCUUUUUAUAGUGUUGCCGAUCCGGUACCGAUCCUUUUUGUUUUUUUAAUAAUAAGCUUUUGUUACAAAUAUGAAUUUGUGGAAUUGAAUAUGGUUAUGAAAAUAGCUCUUCAAAACAUUAAAAAUAAUUCAACCAAAAUAUUGCUGAAUUUACUUUUUUUAUUACACAUCAUGAAAGAUCAUCAUAAAAGAUCCAAUAAAAGUCCAUCCAAUAAAAGCUAAAAUUGGAAAAAAAAUGGGUGUGCAAAAAUACUUUUAGGGUAGGACUAAUCAUUUGACAUCAAUUUGUGGUGUGAUUUAGAAUAUAUGACAUUUUUUUUCAACUCAUUUAAGCUACUUUUUGUGACACCCUUAUUUUGUACCCCCAUGGGAUGUGCUCUUAUUUUGAAGGCCAGAAAUGUUCCGCGUAUUGAGGUAAUUUGGCAGGAGUUAGUGGAGAAACGAGUGGGCUAAGAAUAAAAUGCCUCCUGCAGCUGAGCUACUGUCUUUUUGUUCACUCUGUACUCCCAUAACAUUAGUGGGAAUCCUCACCCGCUCGGUUACACUCUCUUCAACGCAAUAGUAAUUUAUUGACAGCAUAGUAUAAGCAACUAGCAUGGUAUAACACAGUAUAAACAACCAGCGGUUGGAGCGGCACUUCCCUGUACAAGCUCCCUGCACAAUGGCACAGUGAGGGGGAACUACCACUGUAGCUCCGGAGCCGAAUAUCCAACGUCCAAAGUGAAAUUAACUCCACCACGGUGCACCGUGGACAUUCUUGCAUGGUAGUGUUGUGUUUUCUUCUUCUUGCGGAUGGUGGGAGUCGAGAGGCAACCAGCUUUGAGGCGCAUUAGCGCACGUACCAUGUUGCAGUGUUGUCCCAGAGUUACGAACGUCAUACGGCAACCGUAUCGGCCCGAUCUCGUGGAAGCUGAUAUUUUCUAUCUUCAAAAUACAGCGGAUCGGCAGCCGAUCCCGAUCCUGAAGAUUGGAUCAGACAUCCCUACUACACACUUGUGUUGUCAUAUAUGUAGGCAGUAAUGGCUGUGUGAUGUCAUGAUUAGUGGUUAGUAAAUCUAUACUGCUGUACACUGACUAUAAAGUAUAUCCAAGUUGUAGUUCUUCAGUACUGUCCCUUGGGAAUAUAGAAUAUGUAAUGUGAGGGAUGGACUCACUUUUGUGAGAAAAUGUAUGUGUCUCUACAAGUUUUGCCUUUUUCAUUAUAUACAAGUCCUGAUAUAUCAUAGCUGAUUUUCUCUCAAUAUAUUGUUAAUUGCUGUAUUGUGAUGUUAUCAUUGGCAAAACGUUGCGGUAAUAUAUCUGAGUUACUUUGAUUUCCACCCGAAGGUAAUUAAAGUUGGUGCCUCCACCACUGUAAACAAGUCGUGGAGACUAAUGUCAGAUAAAAACUUUGUGGACUUUGUUUGAACCUUUUGAUAACUCUGUCAUCUAAAUAUCUUCAUAACAUCCAUCUUCUAUGCCACUUGUCAUCACUAAGGUAUGCUGGAGCCAAUCCCAGCUGACUUGGGACAGAGGCGGGGUACACCCUGGACUGGUCGCCAGUCAAUUGCAGGGCACAUCUUCAGAUCUUCUCGAUCUCCUGACUGUGUGUCCAACAUGCUAGCCACUAGUCCACCGUGCGGCCCUCAGACUUUUACACAUACUUAUUAAAAUGAUGUACCACAAAGUAUGACAUUUUGAAGCGUAUAAAUGUGAGCGCUCAUAGUCAUUAUCCGGUGUAUAAAGUUACAACUAGGGAUGUCCGAUAAUAUCGGCCACCGAUAAUUAUCAGGCCGAUACUGGCAUGAAAAUGUGAUAUCAGCCAACAUCAGUAUCGUUUUUUUCCCUACAAUGAAAGCCAAUACAGAGCUUUUACCGCCAAAGUCAAAAAUUUGCAUUGUUGCAUUCAUUGCUGAACUUGCUGCAUCAUGUAGUUAAUACUGUGCUGCUCACAGGUCUGUGAGAAUGAAGUAACUCUACAGUAUAUUUAGCAAGCAGAGCAACAACAGAGCUCACAGUGAACUUACCAGCUCCAUAUAAAUCGUGGGGGGGUUAACAUUCCACAUACCAUUCUUACUCACUGUGUUUUUAAAGAAAGAGCUUAAAAAAAAAAAACAUCAUACAGCCACGUAAUAGCUAGAUAACAACAGACAAAACACUACCAACGAAUAAUGCAGAAUAACCAACAACUAUGUGAGCUCUAAACAUGUAACUUGGCAACCAUUUACAACAACAGUUCAGCAAAGCACGGUGAGAAACAGAAAGCUCUCUUGUCAAAACCAUAUACGUAGAUGCUGCAUUGCCGAGCCGUCCGUCAAAGUCGCCGCCAUAUUGGAUGUGGCAAGGCUGCGCUGUAAGUGAAGCCAAGUAAAUGUACUUAAUAAAGCGCCUUUCUACACAGAAAUGUAAGCCUAUAUAUAUGUGUGUGUGUGUAUAUAUAUAUAUAUAUAUAUGUAUAUAUGUAUAUAUACACACACACACACACACACACACACACACACACACGUGUGUAAUUAUAUACGUGAUUAUAUAUGUGAUGUUACACAUCAGUGUCGGUUGAUAUCGGAAUCAGAAAUUGAGAGUUGGACAACAUCGGCAUAUCGGUUAUCGGCAAAAACGCCAAUAUCGGACAUCCCUAGUUACAAGACUUGAAAGCCUCGUGAAAUAAACCCAAAUUUAGCAGGUCUAAAUCCUCCUGUGAUGAUGACACUGUACACAAAUGACGUCCUCCUUCUCACAGUAACCGCUGUGUUGACAGAAAAAGGUGGCUCAUUCCUCAACACACAAAAACACUGGCUUUGGCCAAUGUUGUCUUCUGGAGCAUUCCUUGUUUACAACAUCACAAUUUGGGUGUUUCUGGCACAGUUAGAGCCAGGGGUGAGGGAAGGUGCUGGUCACCCAAUACGGCUCUGCAGACCUGUUCAGGCCUCACUGGGGCUCUCUGUGCUGGUGGGUCUGGAGGAGUUGGAAGGAAACGUGGGACAUAACUCCUUGUUGACAUCAAUCUCCUGCCAUUGGGGGGCCCAAGGAAGCUGGGUAGGAGUGGAGGGGAGGUCACCCUGUUGAUUUAACACCUCAACAAAGCAGGUCUGUUUGGAUGGCGGGGCCUAAUGGACUGCGUCCACGAGAGGCUGUUGUUUUAGAAAAUGCUGUAUGUGUUUGUGGCUAGAAGUAUAGCUCUCUGUGGUUAUGUUAGCACUUUUGCUAACAUAAGAAGAGGAAUAUGAGAAACAGAAAAUGGUGACAGUCUGUAAGCCCUAAAUCAAACUGGAGAUGGGGGGGGGCUCACUUUUGUGGAAAGUAGAAGGAAUGACACAAAUGAUGAAGAUGGAAAGAUGAAGGGGCUAGUUCGUAUAUCCAACCUUAAUGCCCAUGACGGCAGAUCCUCUCCAAAAUCAAGAGCUUGAAGACUCUUUGUUUGUUGUCAAAAUCCCUAGAUGACAGGACAGAUCCCCCUUGGUCACUCUUUCAAACCCGAGGUAAUGUGGUCUUGAGUCAUCCCUUUAAACUUUAGUCCAGCACGAGGAAAACAAUGCCUGGUAUGAGUUUGAGAACAUCUGUUUCCACUGUACCAAAUCAAGAUCUUCUUCUGCAUUGUGGCAGAGUUACAAUGCACAGAUGAGCUACAACUCAAAUGUGUCGUAGCCUUACAGGACCAGAAAGAGCUUCCGUACAAUGUCGACAUCAGUGCCAAGAAGCAGAAUGGAGACAGUGACGGAUUUUUCAACGCUCUAGCAGCGAGGCAUUCAAUCGAUGGCAACUGGACUGUUCUGCUAAUAGUCCUUCUUGAGAUGCGCGCGACCCUGGUGACCAGAUACAAGAAACGUCUGACCUCAGUGCUUGCCAACAAGGAUUUUCUCCCCCAAGUACUAAGACAUGGUUUGCUUUCCGUCAAUAAAAUACAAUUUUUUUUCAUUAACCUUUAUUUAUUGUUAUUUUAUUAUUUUUUUUGUACAUUGUGUCUCUCUCUGCUACAGUAAACCUUCCAUAAAAAAUCUGGACUGUUCAACUUACAAAAUCAGCAAGGGAUCAAAUACUUUUUCCCCUUGACUGUAUAGCAAAGCAAAGCUCAAGUAUAAGCCAGAUACACUUUAAUAUCGUCUGUAUAAUUAUUGGCUCGAUUAGUAUAUUUUUUGUAUACCUGCAUAACUCAGUGCUUCUCAAAUAGUGGGCUGGGCCCCCUGAGGGGGCGCGGUGAACUGUCAGGGUGAGGGUGAGAGACAGAGAAGACUUUCAAUAUUAGUACAGACCUGCCAACAUGUACGAAUUUGUUAUACUCAGCAUUCAAUUUGACUCUUCAAUACGUUUGUAUGCUUCACUGCUUUUUGUUUUGUUGCAUUUUGCUUGUUUCAAUUUCAAGUUCAGUCUGUACAUUACAGAUAAAUAAAUAUAUCAGUUUCUCAAUAGUAUUUCAUGGUCACAGCAUGUAGUAUAUAAAACCAGAAAACCUUGUUGGAGGUGUUUUAAUAGCGGUCUUCCUGGGCGAAAUAGGCGUGUCCCAUUACAUGCAUUAAUUACUUUUUAAAAAUAUAUUUUUUUGCUGUUUUUAUAUGUUUACAUCGCACAGAAAAGAGACGUGUGUUCAUGUCUGACAUAAGGAUUGUGGAUGAUGGGCAAAAUUCCAAGUUAUUCUUUAAAACAUUUUUUUCUUUUUGUAAAGAUGAAUGUGUUUGCACAUUGCCUCUGUUAAUGAAAUAAUAAACUAAGCUAAGCGAUGGAGACGUCCUGAUCAAUGAUUGGUUCAACGGUCAGUGACAGCCAUAGGUGACGCCUCCGCCGUCGCUGCAGAUUAAGAGGGUGGCUGGGUCAUGGUUUAGGGAAGUAAUUGUUAGCCAGCUUUUUGUCUCUAUUUCAGUAAGUCUGAUAAUAAAGGGGGUGGAGUGGUGCCAUAGGGGCUGAGCCCGCUCCCUUUUUGAUCAUUGAUCUCUGUGACCCCAUUUGAAUGGUCUUAAUCUCUCAGUUGACCUCCUCGAGGAUAUUUUAGAGGGAGGGUGACAGGGGUGGAUGUUUACUGGGAACCAUCAAGAGUGAGGAUGCUGUGGUGAAAGUGAUUUGAGGGAGGUGGGGCAUAUUUUUCCGCUUGAGUGGAGAAUGGUGUAAUGGCCCUGGGAUGUCAGGAGAUGCAUGCUUGUGUGACAAGUGCCAUGUAUAUCUCUGACAUGUAACUUCAUUUUGAGCUACUUUUUACUAUUCGUACACGCAAAACCCAGUCAAUGCCGCACCGUGGUUUAUCCUCAACUUUUCUUUGCAGCUGUUGGUUUCUGUAUUUGUUAUUUAAAACACUAAAUAGUAGAAGCAACAAAAAACAUCAUGGUGCAGAAAAAGAUGGCCUUAUCCCCCUGUCUAAAAACAAACCCUUCUAAAGCGGUUGGUCCAUCAUGAAAAAACUUCAAACUUUCCUUCAGCUUUUGUUUUGUUUCAAAUUGAAUGAUUUGACAAGACUCCCAGACUGCACCCAUUUACAUACAGGCACAUCUACACUGGGGUUUGCACAAUUGUGCAAAACAUUUUAAUCACGAUUUUCUUGCUUAGAAAUGUCUCUGUGGCAAUUUUUUUACACACACACACACACACACGCACCAUGUUCAGGGCCAUUUGCUUUUAAAGAAAUCAAUUCUAUUAUGUUAUCAUCAUUAUGAGACUUAUCAUUGUCUUGUUCUGCUUUAAAUAAACUUCCACUGGUUUUUCUGUCAUUCUUCAUGGGAGGUCCCAGAAGGACAGUUGACUGCUGACUUUUUUUCGAGGGAUGAAAAGAAAGAAAAUAAUCCAUGAGUCAAAAACACAGCAUGCUCCCUCACUCACUCCACAACAUUGACGCAUGUUGGAAAGACAAGUCAAAAGGAAAACUCAGUUAAUUCAUGCAAUCGCUUGUCCUGCAAACUGAUAGCCAGAGUGCCUUGCUGACUAGGGCGGCGGAGCCAUCUCGCCCCGGCUUGCUGGGGAACAUGGAGAUGGAGGAGUGUGUCGGCCAGUCCAAUACAGUGUAGCGUGACUCCUUGAUUAAAAUGGCAGUUUGUCUGUGAUGCAGUUUGUGAAAUACAAUUUUAAACAUUAGAUUGUAUGCUAGUGUGAAUUGAGGUUGCGAUUGAAUUUUUUAAAAAUUUAUUUAUUUUAUUAUUAUUAAUUUUUUACAUUUUUCAUGCAGCCCUACUGUGCGCCUCAUUUAAGCUGCUACAUAUGGGAUUGUGCAACCCUGGAUGGAGCUAUUAACUACUUCAUGUCAAUAAAUACUAAUUACGUAUGUCAGUACUGUUCAAAUGAAAUGUUUUUAUUAGAGAUGUCAAACAUAAUCCCUUAAUGGCGGUAGCUCAGUGAUUUAAUUAAUUCUGUUUACAUUUUGAACGUAAUAAACGCAUGCACAUCAUGACAAGCCGCACCUCUUAUAAUGGCAGACGGAGGCACGGUGUAGCGUCCCCACAGAGUCACACAGAGCCUGACACUUUUAUAACUUUAUUCUUCUUUAUUAUUUACCAACAGCAGUGUAAUUCAUCACAACGUCUUUAUUAUUCAUGUAGGCGUGGUCUAAAUUAACAUAAACAUUGAGAAAAACAAUGAGUGGAUAUUCUUAUCGCUCAUUUUGUAACUACAAUUUUGUGCAAUUUGUACAAAUUGGAAAAUGAAAUACAAUUUACUGCAUUUAAGUAUGCUCGCAAAUCCAAGGAAAUACAAUCAAAAUUUAAAUUAUAUUUUCGAACGAAACACUUCAUUGCUCGUAACACGGUGAAAGUGUGAUUCAAAUGAUCUGCCACUAUUAAAAGACUAGUGUUUGGCAAAAGGAUUUGCAGACUUGUGGUAUUUUUUCGCUUGGUUUAAGUGGUUACUUCUUUUGGAGUUGUUAAUACAUACAAAUAUACAUAAUCGUGUCCUGUCAUUUAUCUUUCUGUUAAUAGAAUACAGUGAAAAUGGGCAUCUUUCAGACACACAGUAGUUGCAAAUAGUGAUUAAUCAUGAUUAACUUGUGAUUGCAAAAUUUUAAUCAUUUGACAGCCCUCAUUUUCAUUUCUUUUUUUCCUCGAGGACGCUUUGACAAUUAUGCCGUGUGUAUGAUCACCUGUCUUUGAGCCUUACACUCGGUACACUGCAGUGUACUGAUGCAGUAUUUUUUUUUUUUUUUUUUUUACCUUUCUCUAAAGCAAUCAAAGAUGCAUUGAGCUACAACCAUCUCUACUGUAGAGCAAGUAAACCAGGUAUUCUGACAUUUCAGCAUUACCCGAGGCGCUUCAUUUCAUUUGAUUAUAGAGAAUAACACACAAGGUUUAUUUGAAAACAGUUUUAUGUGUAAGCUCUACCUUGAAAAGAUUUUACAAAUCACAGUUUUUAUUUGGGGCUACUUCACUUUUGAUGAGGAUGAGACAUUCUAGUGCAGUCUUUAUUUUCAGGAUUUCAUCUGCAUUGUCAUAGUUUUGUGCAAGGGAGGAAUAAACACCAUAACAGGAAGAGGGGGAAUUCACUGAGAGGAAUGUGUUUUCAUUCGAGUGUCUAUGGAGUUCAGGCAUGGUAAUCAAGUCACUCGUUUAUUUUGUCUCUUCAUCAGGACCACCAGAUGAGCUUGAGUGUUGUCAGACAAGGUGUUUAGCUCCAACACGCCCAAUCAUAAGCAGCCCUGCAGAUGUGCACACUUGUGUGAAUCAGAAAGUUAUGUUUCUGCUGUAGGAUUUGGUGCUUGUUGUGGGCUCAAUCCACUGUUGACUUUCAGGAAUGCUACAGAGCACCAGCACCAUCUGGCAUGUAUGUCCUAUGUCCAUAUGACACUGUUGUCUUCAUCUUCAGCUGGAAAGGUUUAAAAAAACAAAAAAAAGUUGCACAAGGUCACUUGUAAGGAAACCGUAAUGAUUGGAGUUGAUGCUAGGCGGAAAACCACUGUGCUGGGAGAAUUGUGAUAAUGACAGACGGAACACUUCCUGGCUUCUUGUUUUGAUGGGUGAUAGUGAUCUCAAAUAGCGUUACCUAAGAUUGUCAGUCCAGCCUGCCAAAAAGAUUACACCGCUGAAGCUGAAGGCAAAAGCCAGAGAGCUGGGAAAACAUAAAUCUCCAAAUGAGACUGGUACUGUUGCAGAACGCGUUGCCCCAGACCUUGCCUUCCACAUAUCUCGCCACGAAAUCGUCUGGGGUUCUUUUAUCUGCACAGCAAUGCUAUCCAGGCCACAAGUUCUGCUUGUGUGUGUGUGUUUUUUUUAAUACAUAGCUCUCUGUAGGCGUGUUCCAAGACAACAAAAUUAAUUUUCAUGAAGGUGAAGAAGACUGAUGGAAAUCUUCUAUGAUGAAUUCUAACUUGCAGCCUAGUAGUGAGAUUGGAAGCGAAUUAUAGCCAUAUUGAGCAUCCUGUUACUCGACUGUUGUUGGCCUCCAACAUCAACAUGAACUUGUCAGAUGUUGGUGUAUGUUUUCAAAGAUGAUUAAACACUAUAAACUGGGCCCACACACACAUACAUGUACUGUAUAUUGAUGCAAUGUCAAUCUGUGCUGUGUCCAAAGCCUCUUACUUCGAACAUCUGCAUUCCUUCAUGGCACAACCACCUCCAGAUGUUCCUCUCUUAUACUGUACCCCCACGCACACACUCUUAAUUUGGUUAAGUUUCCCCACAUAAAGCCGUUGUGCACCUAUAUUUUAUUCUCGUUUGACAGCUUUGACCUGUGAACCCCCUUUGAGAAUGUUUCGUGAAAACAUUAUUGCAAAAAAAAUGUACACUUUCCCUUUGUUGGAAAGACAAAAGGCACUUUUGGUCAGGAUCCAGAAAUGAUCAAGACCCAGUGAAACACAUCAAGCAAUACUUCAUAAUGCAUAUUAUGUAACAAUACAUUUGGGUGGAAUUUCAUAAAAUAUGUGCCAGUCUACUGUAUGUCUUAGUCUUUUUUCAUUUCUGAUCAUUACACAAAUGGUCAAUUACUUUUUGGCAUUUAGUUGUUAAGUCAUCCCCCCCAUCAAGAUGUUUUGCUUGAUGGCGGCCAUGUUUCUCAAUUGAGUUACACUGGGUGUUUUGUAGAGUACACUCAGCUGUCCAAGAAAGUCAGUCUGACUUACAGGGUCAAACUUUAGGGUUUAUCACAGUGUCACCAUAUGGUGUAUUUUUCAGAAAAAUAAUAGCACAGGCGACACAAUAGGGGUGUAUGUUUUGCCAAAUGUUCACCCUUUUGUGUGCAGAUGUGCAGUCAUGGGGUGUCCUGAUUUUUGUUUGAUUGAAGCGCCAUUUCUUCAUUUUGCUCUCCAUUCUUGAACCAACUUACCCCCUGCGAUGGCAGACAUGACUGAUCUGUGGGCUUGUCAGGUAACAUCAGUGCAAAGCUGGUGCCAUGUGACGCCCCCGGCAGCUUGCCAAAAGCUAAUUGUGCUAAUUGGCGAGCGCCAAUCCUGUAACAAGGCUUUGAGGGGCGACCCACCGACACAGAUGAAAGCGUGCAGAUUUCUCUUGUGUCAAGGACUUGUGGGUAAUCAGCGCGUCCAAUGACCUGCAGGCCAGGAGGGCAGGACCAGGACCGGGACAGUGCUGUGGCCCGUCUGUGGAGGGUGAAGCAAAGGGACAUGUCCUGAAGACUUUAAGCCGACACUGUGGCUUAAUUUGGAUUUAAAUUACAUUGCAGAAUCCAUAAGAAGCUCAUCUCGAAUCUUCCCAUGAAAAAAUAAGAAAUUAGCUUGGCUUUGUUGCUGGAUUCUUUUUGGCCAGAGCUCAAAAACAUGUUAGACUUCAUGUGGACAAAGAUUGAUCCAGAAGUAGCACAGACUAAUCCCCAUUUUCCUAAUUCGUUGAGGUGAGAGCAAAGUCAGUCUUGUUCUUUUGUCUGUGGAAUAUAAAUAACGCUGUCUCUGGGUUCAUUGAUGAGACCAGACAUACCUCUCCCAAGAGCUUUUAUCAGUCACCAGGUCAUUUUACUUCUGCAGCUUUGUCUGAUAGCCUAAAUGGAGAGUGGUGCGAGGAGGUUGGGGGUGUUUCUGCCAUCUUGCAUGGCUUUGUCAUGUCUUUAUAGGUGAACGAUGAACAUGUGCCCAUUUGUUGUCUUAAGUGUAUGUUAAAAGUCUUGUAUCAUUUUAUCUAUAUUAUAUUGACAUUAUAAUUUUACAUUUUAACAUUAAUAUCAUGUUAGGUUAGGAUAUUCACUGAAGGAAAACUACGUAUAUGAUAAAACUUACAGCUCCCACGUCUGUAGUAGUCAGAUAGUUGGCAGAGCUUCAGGAUUUAUUUUAAGAUGUGUUACGAAGCCUGCUCUUUUUAAACAAAGUUUUCUUCCACGAAGUGGUGGGUGUAUACACCGGACAGCCUCAUCUUGCUAGGGGCGGGUCUGAGGCAGUAUUAUGUUCAUGAGCAAGGAGGUUUUUCCUUCAUGACAUCAUGAAAACUUGGAACUUCAAAACCGAGUGCCUCGUCUCUCAAAAGUGGAGCAAACAAGUGAGGGAGACACUGGAUUUUUCUCACAUUUCGUUCUCACAAACAGGCUCUAAUGACACAUUGCUGUUAUAAUGUCAUUAAAAAUCAUUUUUGCAUAACAGGAGACUUGGGACCUGUAAGUUUUUAGUAAUUAAAUGUGCAACUCGGUCACACUCCCAACAGUAUGUGUCGUGUUUGUGUUUUUAACACAUCGCCAGCAAUUUGUACAUUUACUACGGUGCUACCGUGUACAGCGGAGGCAAGACAAAGGGUAAUCAGAAGAAGAGUGGACACGCAGGUGGCGCGACAUCAAUGCACUGGCAUGCAUAUUACAGCUUUUUUGCAGGUCUGUGUUAAAAUAUGAACUAUUUUUUGCAUCAUAUGGUAUUACAAGGAAGGAACUUCACUUUUUGGCUGUGAAUUUAGAAAUGUAGUUCAAUUUACUUCAACUCUGUAAUCAAGUGUGAAAUAGCAAAUUAUCAAAUCAUAUCAGAUUUCUUUCUACAUACUUGGGUUGUAUAAUGUCUGAACUAUGACAGAUUCCUGCUCCUCAUGUCCAUUCAUCCACAUAAUAGGGUCAUUACUGUGAUGAUCGGCAGUAAAAUGCUGCUCAGGUAGCGGUAAUCAUAUAUUAAAAUGUAACAAAGCGAAAGACUCAGCAGCGAAAGACUCAACCACAUGGUGGUGUUACCCCCCCGAACUCAAUGAAAGAUCAAACGCACCUCCCGCUUUGACUUUAUCACACCUCUGACAGCUCAUGUCGGAGGGGUUAAUCUGCGAGUGCCAGAAAUCAAAUGAAUGUGCAGAAUACUUGGCAUGUCACUCUUCCUCAGUGCGAUGUAGCCACAUGAACAUGUAAACUGUCUGAGUUUUGCAGACAUGGCUGCAGGGCAGAGAGAAUUACACUGUCACACAGAGGAUAUGGAGCUGCCGUGACAUCCUCUUGGCACAUAGUUGAAGGCCAUCCAGGUGGAAAUCGCUCUGCUCUGCCAAGAGCAAGGUGGGGAGGGAGGCAGUUAGUUGUGUUGCAUCUGCAUCAGCAAGGAUUGUCUUUAAUGCGAAUCGUAUAUGCUGUUAACUUUUGUAGCUGUCAGACGCAAGGGAGGUGUUUAGUACUAAUGAUGAGUGUAGACGCAAGCAGAUGUUAAAGCUUGUCUUUUUUUCUCCCUUUACACAUUUUUAUAAAUCAAAGUUUGCUUUCUGCUAGUACUGUGUUCGCUUGUCUUUAUAGUUUUGGGUGUUGAGUAAUAAAUCAACAAAUAUGCAAAAUAUAUAUAAUUGUGUCCUCUCUUUAUCUUUCUACUCAUAGAAUACAGCAAAAAUAUUUCACACAUAGUGGCAAAUAGUGAUUAAGCAUGAUUAAUUUGAAAUCUGAUUAAUGUGAUAAAAAUGUUAUCAAAAGUUUCUAUGUUUAGGAAGACUUUUCUUCUGGCCUGCACACUUGGACCACAAAAACACCCUUGGGAAUAGAGCCAUGUCUCUGUGGAUAAGCUGUUUGUGUAAUAAUUAAUCCAACCUCGCAACAUCUGUUUUCAUGUUAUUACUCUGUGCCUGUUGCACAUAUGAUGGGCAUUGUUUUAACCCUGUGUGUGUCUGUGUAUGUAAAAUACAUUGGAUCGGGGUGGUCCUUGGCUAGAAAAUCAUUUUCAGUAUCUGGAUUAAAUUUACAGAAAGGUUAGAGAGUGUUGGAAGUGAUUUGUCUACAGUUACAAGAAUUCCCUGCUGUGUUGAGUGCAUACACUCAUCUACUCACCCACGUGUCCAACAAGCAUAAACAUGUAGGUCAGCCAUGUUUCCAUUGUCUUCACUGGGGUGCAUUGUUAUGAAGCACAUAAACAAAUGCGGCCAUAUCUAGCCUAACAGUUCUGCUUAGUUUAUCACAAAUCUUUCCGUGUGCCAAACGGUUGUUAACAUUGCUACUGAGAUGGCAGCUCCUCUCUUGAACAGUGGCAGAGGGAAGAGGACAGCCACACUGGUGUUGAUACUGGUGUUUAGUAUUGUCUAUGCUGGGGUGACUAAACCUUUUCCACCCAGAGCCGCAUAUGGAAACAAGGAACGACAAUUGGCUACUUGUUGUAUUCUUAACCUUUUCAAUUCAAUGUUGGUUAAGAUACGCUAUCUUGGACCCAUAUAAUGUCGAGACAGGCAUGGACAAACACAGCUCAUUAGCAUUAAAGCUACAGAUACACAAAACGCUUCAACUUUUUUUCUUGAACCCUUUUAUGUCAGUGUUUUUUAGCAAAUUGUCCCAAAUCAUCCUUAGGAAUGUGAUACUGGCCGUGGUUAAUAAUCUGCCAUGUGCCAAGGGGAAAAAAAAAGACCUGCAAGCUACAAAUGGCCCUAGGCUGCUCUCUGGAUGCCCCUAGUCUAUAGUCUGUGCUUCCAUUUUCAAGCAGACUAAGUUUCAGAACAGUUUCAGAACAGAAAAGAAACUUUUGGUGUGGAGAAUUUUCUGUGUUUUAUUUAUAACAUGCAAGUCUGACCUUAAAGGGUUAGUUCGGAUUUUUUGAGAUGAGGUUGUAUGACAUCCCCAUCGUCACAUACUCAUGAACAGAGAGGCGACAGUGCGCAUGGACACGGCGGGAGACAAAUACCGAGCGAUUUGUGAGGUCAGAUUUUUUUUUAGUAGACGUUUUUAUGAUGUUAUGAUGAGUUUAUGUUUAUGAUGAGACCAAAUGGGGGGGGGGGAGUCACUGUUGAUACAGUUCACUGCUGAUGGGGAUGUCAUACAACUUCAUGUCAAAAAAAUCCAAACUAUCCCUUUUAAUUCUUCCAAAUUGAUCCCUCUGGAAACAGUUUGGGGCUGUUUGCUGGAGCUGGAUGUGGUUGGUGUGAGCAAUGCAAGGGUGCCACCCUUCACCAGUGUCCUCAUCUGUCCCUGUCUCGUCCGCCCACCCCUCCACCUUACUCCCGCAGUGUCCUUUCCGAGGGCCAGCUUGUCUGAACCCGAACAACAGUUCCAUUUGUUCUGCCAGGGAUGGGAAUGCACUCAGCCAUCUUUAGCAGUGUUUCUGCCAAGACCACUGGAUGCCAAACCUGUGGGUCUUACUCAUAUGCCAGCUCGUUUUUAAUGCUCUCUUUUCACCCUGUCUGCCUCGGUCUGCGACAGUGUCACAGUUGCUGGCGAAGGGUCUCGAAAAGGAGCCAUCUGUGUGGUUACAUGACGGUGAACCUAUCAAACAACAUACCUCACAAUCAAAGUUGAUCAUCCUGUGUAAUUGUUUAACUGCGCUUUUGUGCGAUGAAAGAAUCUGUCGUCUUAAACAGAAAAACAAGAUUCAUGCAAGUAGUAAAUUGCGAUUAUUCCUAUCUUUUGAGUCAUAGUCUUGCUACACUGAAUUACCUAAUGCCCCAAGGCAUUGUCUCAGUCCAACUCCGAAACAAAUAAGUAGAUAUUUUCAAAGCAGCUCUAUGCAGCCAUUGUUCACUGCAAUAAAAUAGGCUGUGGACUAUAUGCCUCAUUGCCCACCACUCCUCCACCUCCAUUGUGUGUGAGAUGGAUGAGUGAGCGUAUGUAAACAUACCGCAUUGGGUCACAGCACUGUCCACAGCACACAACCAAUAUGGGACUCUUCAGAAUGCUCUUGAAGUACUUAAGAAAACACGUGCUGCCGAUACCUAUCUGCAGGCCACUUAAACCGAUCUUUGUUUCUCAACCGAGAUGAAUAUAGGACAGAACUGGAACAGGAACAAAUUAACAUUGAACAUACCUUUUGCAUUUUAGUAAUAUUUAACUCAUUCAACGCCAGCAUUUUCCAUAAGACAACCCAUUCAUUACCGGCCAUUUUAGAUGAUUUUGACUUAUGUUUCAAGGCACACAGAAUAUUGUGUUCUAUGGCUACUGUAUAUAAACAUAAAACCUACCAAAAGAAAGAUUAGAUUGCCGUCUUUCAUCAGAAAAACAAAAAAGUUUGUUUCUACCUUUUUCCGUUCUUUAGUAAUCAGCAGUAGAACAUAGGUUGCUGACUAGAAAAGGGAGAAAAUGAGCUUUGUGAAAAGAUACAUUUCAAGCACAACAUGCACUUUGACACAAUUAUUUUUUGCUUUUGUGACAGCUCAAAUAUCUAAACAACUAUACCACAACAUAAACAACACUUUUUUUUUUUUACCUCAAAAUAACAAUUUACAGUAUUUACAAAAAACGCCAUGAACUAUUUACAGUUUUCAUAUUUGGAACUGAACUAUGUGUCUGCAUGUGCGUGUAUGUGCGUCUACGUAUUUGGUGUUUGGUAUCUGGUGUUUCACUAAUCUAUUAAAUAGGGGUGUCACUCACUCACUCGAUACACUCAGCUCACGAGACGAGACGAUACACGAUACACGAUAUUAGGUUCACGAGAGCGACACGACGAUAUUUUAACAUUACUUUAAGAAAAAUACAGUAACAAAAUAUAGGAGGGGAAAACAGAAGGUACAUUUUGAAAUGUUUUAUAACUUGGCAUGGUUGACCUAAGCAUCAUGCUUUUAACUGUUGAACUUUUCCACAAAUUGAAACCAAAAUUAAAAAUUAAAGAAGUUAAAAUAAUGACGGCAGCUACUAAACAUUUAUGUAGUUAUGUAAAGACACAUGUAAAAUAGAUUGCAAUAGAUUACCUUUUAUGUUUACGCUAAAAUAACUAGACAGUUCCCAUGAUGCUUAAGAGUGCCAAACCACAAAGCAGGUCCGAAUUAGACUCUACGAUCACAUGCUUUGAUAGGAGUCUUAUGCAGCGAAUGUGUUUUCAUCUGACAAAUCUUAAAUAACUUUGAUCAAAUGUAGAAUAUCUACGACUUCUGCUUGGUCGUAGUAAAAACAGUCACACGUUGCGAGCGAGUGACGCUGGGAAUGCCGAGUGCGGGUAGGAUUGCAAGGUUUAUAGUGUGUGUAAAGUGCUUAAUGUGCUGUUCCUAUCCUGAGAGUGCAGUCCAGACCUGCAAACAUGUACGCAUUUUUCGGCACGGCACUUAUUUUUACCUUCGAAUACACUUGUACGCUUUGCUGAUCUCCAGGUAAGCAUUUUGUUACAUUUCGCCAAUUUCAGUUCAUGAACAUCAGGUCUGUCAGUGCCAUCAGCAAACAAACAUCUCAACAGAGACCGUGACAUCUCAACAGAGACAGUGGGCGACAAGGCACUGACAGGGAGGGCUGCCUAGGGUUAGCUGAGCGAAUGAAGAAUGAAGGAAAGAGUGUAAUCUGCUCUGUCUGCUACAUUACACAUGAAUGAGGUCUAAGCACGUUGGCGGACUCACAGAGGAUGUACUCUGGCCUCAGGAAACAAAGAAAUGGACACAGCCAGUCACUUUGUUGCACUUUUGCUUCCACGUUACACUAUAUGGACAAAAGUAUAUGGUCACCUUCACCUACAGGGGCUGAAAAUGGAAGACAAUAUGCACUGCUGGGACAUUUCCGGGAUGUCUUUGUGCAACAUUUUGGAGCAUGUCCUUUGGCUCACAAUUUCCAUUCUAUUGUAGGAAAGUGAUCUGAACUUACCCAUCUAUGCCUUCCGUUUUGGAGAGGAAACUCUUUAGGUGACUCAGGCAUCUAAUACAGACUACUAGGGUUGUUGUUGAGAGGGUGACAUUAAAACGUGACAAGACUUCUCGUUUGGAGAAAAGCUGUAUCGCAAGAACAGGGCAGCCAGAACCCAAUUAGACUGUGAACAAUGGCACAGUCCUCUCAACAAGAGAGGAGAAAUAUAACCUCAGGGAAAAAUCAAACUCAUUUGUCACUUUGUCACUUUUUAAGAAAAUGUAUGUUAGAACCUUGGCUUGUUCUUGUAGACCCAAUUGUGUGCAUCGUCUCCUCGUGAGUUGGUUGUCUUGUGACACCCCUACAGACUACUACUACCACACUGGUGAGGCAGUGUGUGCAUGGCCAACGAGGAGGAAACCUCUACCUUGCAGUUUCCUCCUUUCCUCUCCUCCAAUGACACCCAAUGACCUGUACGUUGAGGUUUCCUCCUCUGAGGGCACGCAAGAUGGAAUAUGGUGUCUCAGAUGGCUUGGAAUCCCCUCUGUGGGUGGGCAGGAACAGGCAUAUGUGGACGUUUCCUGAUCAGAACAUUGCCUAUACAGCCUGGACCCCACGAAAGUGGAGGAAAAUGGUUAUAGUAGAAUAAUAAGGCCCUGAACAAUUAAGAUUUAGGGAGCGGCUAAUUUGUGGCUGAGAACUACAUUUCCCAUGAUGCUUAGAGUGCAACUUCAGGAAGUAGUGAUGUGGACAGUGAAGUGGAAGCUAAUACCACGUUUUGAAUCGUUUUGAUCAAGCUUAGAAUUACUACAGCUUCUGUUUGGACCGCUCGGACCAUCAUCACCAAUGGGUUUUCAAAAGUCUGGACUACGGUGUUCGGUGUUAAAGAGCAUAGCUCGGGUUAAAUGGCAAAUUUGCCUCGGGACAGAAGUGACUCAAAGAAUGACAACGAAACAGAGAGAGAGACUGACAAAGUGUGUGACGAAGGAAUUAUGAGGCUGUUCAAUUGUGGUGCUGAAGAAGACUACUUUAGUGGUUUUAGUUCCCUGAAGGAGGACAGUGAUUAAUGACUUUUC